This is a long non-coding RNA of Lethenteron reissneri (Far Eastern brook lamprey), 1263 nucleotides long. RefSeq lists it as uncharacterized. Lineage: Eukaryota; Metazoa; Chordata; Hyperoartia; Petromyzontiformes; Petromyzontidae. The record is from RefSeq and is a predicted model, not a curated record.
CACGGAGGAGGCUGAACGCUGCGUGUGCGUGACAAGGCGGCGCUUUCGCACGGGUGGCCCACACGCCAAGGUCUCCCUUUGAUAUAGAGACCUUUUAUCAAGCCUCGUCCAAGUCGUCCCUGGGCUUCCUCGCGCACGUGAACCAGUGACAAAGGGGAAGCAGCCGGGAGGAGAAGCGGAGAUUGCUGCAACAAUAACAGGAAAACCGACGCUCAAGCAAUCCAGACGGAGGGUCCUUUCACGACCUUCUCUGAUUGCCUACCAGGAUUUGCUUCUCUCAUGGUCCAUUAUUUGUGCAAGACGGGCUUGCCAUCUGUUCCACUCGAGGCAGCCCACAGGCGCGCUGUGCACGGAGAGUUCAAGAUGCACGUGCAGUAAUUGGGCGUCCUACCUACCUCGGGGUUUACAGAACAGGACAAAAUUCGAUUGUCGCGUGGAGGAAUGCGCAAUGUGUGUAGUGCGAUGUGGGGUGGAAUUGCGGCAAGGUGGUUAGAGCUAUGCUUAUUGAUUUUUAUUCAGAUUGUGUAUGCAUGUCGUGGACAGUGGUCUGUGAUCCAUGGAUGAAGAGCUCUAUAGAAGUAGGAGUUAUUGAAAUCUGUGAUCCGAGUUCGAUACCUGGUAAUGGCUAACAGCAGUGGCGAAUAAUAAUUGAACUGGUCUUGGGCAAACCCCCUUAACAUCCUGCAAUGGCAAGCGUGGUGAAGUAUGGUCAAACAACCCUCACAGCAAACACGUCAGGAGGCCUUCAUCCAGCAGUCGACUAACAAAAUAGUUGCAAAUAAUACAACAACAAAAAACGUGAAUUUACAACCCAAUCUCAUUGCGCUGUUCCACAAAGGCCUCCCCUAUCUGUGCCCGGGGAGUGGUGGUGCAGUGAUUAACGCACUGUGCUAUAGAUCCGGUGGCCCGAGUUCGAAACGUGGGAAAGUCGGAUUCUGUUGAGCCCAGAAGAGGAAACAUUUCCCAAACGUCCCGAUGUUAAUGGACACUGAAUGUAAACUCAAGUACACAGUGGUGGGAAUAGUGUCUCGUGUAACAAAUCUGGAAUCAUUCAUGUGUUUUGUUUUGCUGGUGUGUUUAGUUUUAUACCAGGCAUCUGUCUGAUGGUUCAGACAGAAAGCUAAAAAAAACUACGAUGGGUUGUCAUGCGAUUUAUAAAUAUUUAAUUUAAAAGUAAAGAAAACGCUUUGAAACUGGAACAUCUCCUUCUGUAUUUGCUUCCUAACCACACCAAAUGUAGGACGUAAUAGAGAAUAACAUAUG